This 717-nucleotide unclassified non-coding RNA is filed under the name Hevea brasiliensis (rubber tree). Lineage: Eukaryota; Viridiplantae; Streptophyta; Magnoliopsida; Malpighiales; Euphorbiaceae. The record is from RNAcentral.
AAGUGCACUUCAUUACAUUUUUUUAUCACUCAAAUAAGUUUCUGGUUGUACAAAGAACUGAACACUCCUCUCCAAACUUUAUAUUACAAUUUUUACACAACAGGAGGAGAUCUUAUUCAAGGAAAAUGCUUGCAACUCUACCAUAUAGAUGAAGAAAUUUUCAUCUUGGCUUCACUUCAUCAACAGUUCCUCUCCUCAUCAUCGCGACAAACUCAUCAUAGUUAAUCAGCCCAUCUUUGUUUGUGUCAACAUCAUCUAGGAUUUCAUCUAUUGUAGCUUCAUCCCCCAUUCCAUAUUCUUCCAUCGCGUGUCUAAGUUCAUCUCUUGUGAUAAAUCCGCUACUAUCUUUGUCAAAAAACUGGAAAGCCUUGUACAAAUUCUCUUCUCUUUCGAGUUUGUGUCGAUGCAUAGUAGCAGUAAUGAACUCGAUGUAGUCUAUCGUCCCACUGUUAUCAACAUCCGCUGCAUCCAUCAAUUGCUUUAUUUCAGAUUCAGUAAGCUUUGAUCCUAGCCUAGAUAGCCCUGUUUUCAGUUCUUCGUAUGUGAUUGUACCGCUCCCAUCAGUAUCCAUGUUAUUAAACAUCUGCUUCAGUCCCUUGAUUUCAUCUUCUGAUAAGUUCUCCGCGAUAACCUUAAGAGCUAGUUUCUUCAUCUUAUUCAUAGCUCUAAAUUGCUUCAGCCUUGAUAAAACAGCACUAUCAAUAGGCUUGUCUGAUG